UUGGACCUGAUAUCAGGUAAGAUU
RNAcentral lists this ribosomal RNA (24 nucleotides) under Pythium aphanidermatum. Its description in RNAcentral is "28S ribosomal RNA". Lineage: Eukaryota; Oomycota; Peronosporomycetes; Pythiales; Pythiaceae. The record is from RNAcentral.